RNAcentral lists this ribosomal RNA (329 nucleotides) under Antennophorus wasmanni. RNAcentral's name for it is "eukaryotic LSU rRNA". It matches the Rfam family "Eukaryotic large subunit ribosomal RNA", at positions 656 to 953 of the family's 3401-position model. Lineage: Eukaryota; Metazoa; Arthropoda; Arachnida; Mesostigmata; Antennophoridae. The record is from RNAcentral.
UAAACACGGACCAAGGAGUUUAACACGUGCGCGAGUCUAUGGGUACCUGCAGCCCUAAAGGCGAAAUGAAAUGUGAGCCCGCGGUUCCGCGGUGCAAGUCGUGAUCCCCGUUCCUCCGCGUUCGGGGCGCAACGGCGGCCCGUCCGUGCGGCUUCGUCCGCUGGGCGGAGCUUGAGCGCACGUGCUGACACCCGAAAGAUGGUGACCUAUGCCUGGGCAAGACGAGGCCAGAGGAAACUCUGGUGGAGGUCUGAAGCGAUUCUGACGUGCAAAUCGAUCGUCUGACCUGGGUAUAGGGGCGAAAGACCAAUCGAACCAUCUAGUAGCUG